UACCGCGUGGUGUAACGGUAACACAGCGCCCUUUGGAGGCGUUAUUCUAGGUUCGAAUCCUAGCGCGGUAGCCA
This 74-nucleotide transfer RNA is filed under the name Verrucomicrobiota bacterium. RNAcentral's name for it is "Verrucomicrobia bacterium (rhizosphere metagenome) tRNA-Gln". It matches the Rfam family "tRNA". Rfam says of the family: Transfer RNA (tRNA) molecules are approximately 80 nucleotides in length. Their secondary structure includes four short double-helical elements and three loops (D, anti-codon, and T loops). The record is from RNAcentral. Lineage: Bacteria; Pseudomonadati; Verrucomicrobiota.